UACAGAGGGGGCAAGCGUUGUUCGGAAUUACUGGGCGUAAAGGGCUCGUAGGCGGCCAACUAAGUCAGACGUGAAAUCCCUCGGCUUAACCGGGGAACUGCGUCUGAUACUGGAUGGCUUGAGAUUGGGAGAGGGAUGCGGAAUUCCAGGUGUAGCGGUGAAAUGCGUAGAUAUCUGGAGGAACACCGGUGGCGAAGGCGGCAACCUGGACCAACACUGACGCUGAGGAGCGAAAGCAAGGGGAGCAAACAGG
Molecule: ribosomal RNA, 253 nt
Filed under: uncultured bacterium
Lineage: Bacteria
Description: partial 16S ribosomal RNA
Rfam family: Bacterial small subunit ribosomal RNA
Source: RNAcentral